Molecule: long non-coding RNA, 8893 nt
Filed under: Homo sapiens (human)
Lineage: Eukaryota; Metazoa; Chordata; Mammalia; Primates; Hominidae
Description: non-protein coding LINC00320:25
Source: RNAcentral
AGUAGAAGGAUAACAUGACAUAGCAGGAAUAAUACUGCCUUUUCUUUCUGGCAUGGAUCAAGAGAAAAGAAAAUACAAGAAAACAGACAGAAGCAAGGCAAGGUACUUCUAUGGAAGGGUGAGCCCUCACAGAUGGAGCAAUGGGGCGCGCACACCUGAACAAGGGAGGGGAAGGAGUUCUUAUCCCUGAUGCAUGUGACCCCUGCUGCUGUGUCCUUCCCCUAUUGGCUAAGGUUAGACCACACAGCCUAAACUAAUUCCGAUUGGCUAAUUCAAAGAGAGCGACGGGGGCUUCUGACAGCUUUGGAGAUUGUGACAUUGGAAUAAAGGAAAAACGUACAGGACUCAUGAAGCGCUGAAAUGUUCACAAAUAUCAAGCAAAAGUCAAUGAAAUUUAUUUUGAGCUAUUUACAUCAUUUAAUAAUUGAGCAAGGUAUACUCCUAUGAACAAAAUUUGGAGCAUGUUUGUCUCUCUCUGCCUGGCGUCUUCAGAAUUUGGAAACUAGUUAUGGUUUAUAAUCAGCUAUAGAAUUUUAACACGUGCUCUCAAAUGCAAGUUUCUGAUAACUUUGGAGAUUGUGACAUUGGAAUAAAGGAAGAGCUGGAAUGUUCAUGAAUAUCAAGCAAAAGUCAUGGAAAUUUAUUUUGAGCUAUUUACAGCAUUUAAUAAUUGAGCAAGGUAUACUCCUAUGAACAAAAUUUGGAGCAUGUUUGUCUCUCUCUGUCUGCCUGGCAUCUACAGAAUUUGGAAACUAGUUGUGCUGUACUGCAUGAGAAUGCCUGCAUUUAGUAUGCGAACUGGAAUUGGCAAAGGACGAUGGCUGCUCUCCCGCUAACUUUAAAUAAGUCAUGUCACAAAUUGCAUUCGUUCCCAGAUUUCCUAAACUUUCCAGAGAAAAUGGUCUUCUCCCUGGCUCAGCAAGAAGAUGAACUUUAAACACUGAGAAACUGGUCAUCUCCCUGGCUCAACCAGAAGAUGAACUUUAAACACUACUCUCAAUGACUUGAUGUUCCCAUCACUACUCCUGUCAUAAAGGGAGGGGACUCAGAUAUUGAGAAUUUUAUGAUAGUGUGAACUGUCUGGUAUGUCAUUUAAGUAAGCCCGUUGCUGAAAUAUUUUCCAUGUUAUUAGAAAGAGCUGAAGAGAGGGAUUGAGAUGGCUUCUUUAUUUUUUGUCUUUUGGGAAUUAAAGGAACCUGGUUCAACAAGGGCCUACACCUAAGUCUCUUGUUGUACCAGAGUACAAUUUAGGACUGCUCCUGAGGAAGGAAUUAGCUAGAAAUCUAGAGAGUAAGGGUAACAGAUUUACAUAGAAUAACAGCCUCAGUAUUUUUGGUUCCUCUCCAGUAAAGAUCACAAAGAAUAUUGCUAAAUCGCUAAAACACCUUUGCAAUAACGUAAGGGCUUACAACUAUAUACCAAUGUAGCUCAGUUACUAAACUGGAGUAAACUAAUUUCUCUUGUGUAGAAAAAUUGGUUGGCUGUGGUUUUAUAGCAGAUCUGCAAUUAUUAAUAGUUAUGCCAAUAAUCGUUUAACAGUGCAUAUGUUAAUAUAUAUGGAAAGACAAUGUGUAUAGACAGAUGUGUAAAAUUGAAAAAUAAACAUAUAACAAGAGAGAAACAUCUAUCGAACAGACAAUAUACAUACACAUCAAACACAACAGCAGUUUUAGUGACCAUAAUAUUUAUUUCUCAUUUUUACAUUGCUUACUUUAGUGACAACUGAAAAUGACAGUUGGCAAUGCAGCUAACAGUUUCAAUAAAAGUAUAAAACAAAAGACUGUGUACAAAGCACCUGUCUUUCCGCUUUUGUAAUCUUCCGUUGGAAAAAAUUUACACACCUAAGUAACCAUCUGUUUUCUUCAAGAAAAAAUCAUUCUUAUUUCUCUCUCUCAUCUUGAAAACAGCUGUCAGCCAGGAGGGCAGAGCUGAAAUUUAUUGCCACAUCACAUGAAGCAUAGAACAGACUCCACUACUCCUUGAGAUUCAAAACUUUGCCUCUCACAAAGUUACCUUUUAUUUUCCUCUUGUUUGUCACUCAUCUCCCCUAGUGUGCUCUUUUUAUUUCUUUUACUAUUAAUAAUAAAAUCUGUGGAUGACUGUAUUAUUGAAUGAUUACCUUAGUACAAUAAUUCAAGAAGUAUUUGAAUAUUGCAUCAUUGGCUUUAGAAAACAAGUAUUUAUAGGCCAUUUCAACUUCAUAUAUAUAUAUAUUAUAUAUAUAUAUAUAUAUAAUAUAUAUAUUUAAUUGUCACAAAUUGAACAUACCCACAAAACUAGCAUCCAAAUCAAGAAUGCAAAUACUGCCAACAUUCCAGAAGUUUCUAUAAUACUUCAUUCAGAUCACUACCUGCCUGCUCAAAAGAUAACCAUUACAGCCAGGCGUGGUGGCUCACACCUGUAAUCCCAGCACUUUGGGAGGCUGAGGCAGGUGGAUCAGCUGAAAUCAGGAGUUUGAGACCAGCCUGGCCAACAUGGUGAAACCCCAUCUCUACUAAACAUGGAAAAAAAAAAAUUUAGCCGGGCGUGGUGGCGCACGCCUGUAAUCCCAGCUACUCUGGAGGCUGAGGUGGGAGAACUGCUUGAACCUGGGAGGCAGAGGCUGUAGUGAGCCGAGAUUGUGCCACUGCACUCCAGCCUAGGCGACACAGCAAGACCUGGUUUCAAAAAAACAAACAAACAAACAAACAAAAAAACUAUUACUCUGAAUUUUUGCCUUUUUUACCUUCUGUAGUUUAUUUUUUUCUUAGCCCUGAUUCAAUUAUAUCAGGCAUUGUUAAAAUUGAAUUAAAAUCUGAACACAGUGAAAUGUACAAAUAUUAAGUAUACAAUUUGAUGAGCUUUACAAAUGUACAUACCUCCAUACAUAUCUCAAUAGCGAUAGAGUCAUCCAAGAAAAUUUCCUUGUGCUUUCUUAUUAUAGUCAGUCCAUACACACCAUAGACAAAAACGUUUCCUGAUUUCCAUUACCUUAAAUUUAUUUUGCCCAAUUUUAGCCUGUCACAUAAAUGAAAUCAUGUAGCAUGCGUAUUCUGGGGGAGUCUGACUUCUUUCGCAAUCAAGAUGUCAUUUCAAAAUUUCAUCCAUGUUUCCUCAUAACUCGGAGGCACCAGCUAGCUAAUUGGGAACGAUGGUUUGUAGAGUUCCUAGAAUAACAAAGCUGAAUACAGAAAGCUGAGUUUGAAGCAGAGACACAAUAGCUUAAGAACUGGCACAAGCCAAGAGGUAAAUAUAAAGGUUAUUAUAAUAAUUGGUGACUUCAAAAUAGCUGUGGUAGCCUCAGACCAGAAGCUAGCUCAAACAAACAAACAAACAAACAAACAAACAAACCAAACACCAGCAUAGAAACACUGAGAUAACUGACAUCAGAAUUUGGAAGUUGGAAGAUAUUUCCACUAACUAUAAGGUUAAUGGAACUAGGUUGGGAAAAGUAAUUAUGCACUUGGAAAUAGUUUACUUAUGUAGUGGAGCAGAGUCCACAACAAAAGACAGAAAUAAAUUUCAUUUAAAGUCUGACCCAGAGAACCCAGGUUUCUACUAACUGGAAAACCAGAUAGUUACCAUUAUGAUGGACAGUUGAUACAUUCUGAGGAGGUUUUUGUACCCUUGCCCAUAGUUUUACAGCCAUUUGGGGAUUUCAGUUCUAAGAAAUCAGUGCUGCAGAGAGUCAGAAAGACUGAAAAUUGUGUAGAAGUAUACAGUAUUGCAACCUGUAAGCAAUUUUAUAAAAAAAAAAAAUCACUUUCAGCAGGGUGGAUAUGAGAAUAUUCUUGGAAAUAGUGAAUUCUCAACAUCAUGUUGUUCUUUAUUUUAAAUUAUCAGAAAACUAAGCAAUAAUCUUAUUUGAGGCUGCAUACAAGAAACCUGUGUUCUAUGAAUGCAAUUGUCUUAUGAGAAUAGAACAGAAUACCGUACUCUAAAGAUAAACUUGUCAAGUGUAGAUAUGGGCAAGCCUAGAUUUAACCAGUGCUUAUGUAAAAAGUAUGCCCAGGUGGGGAUAUUCUUAUAUAUUCUUGGUUGGUGAAAAUAAUGGAUAUGAAUAAAAUAUUUUUCUUGCUAUAUCUGUAAUAAAUAAUUUAAUAUAAUAAAACAAAGGUAGUACAGUUUCUAUACAAUUUUCUAUAAAGUGAAGAAAGUGAUACCAUAAAAAUGCAUGAGAAAAGCAAAUACCUGAAAGUUAUCUACUGCAGAAACCCAAAUAAAUUGGUAUAUUUUUUCAUAUAAAAAGUGGACUUUAUGAAAGAAAAACAUAAAUGAGUAAGCGAAAAAUAGGCUGUUUGCCUAAAUUUAAGAAUUUUUGGUUGAAAUUAGUAGAAAUCCAUUUCUACCAAGAUGGAAAGGAGGGAGUAGGUGAACAGGGAGCUUUUAUGAAAGUACCCAGGGCUGUGCCACAGAAUUCAAGGGUAACCAAUCUGCUGAAGGGACUCUGCAGAAAAUGGAAAGUCUCCGGGAAUCUAGCGUGAAGUCACAGCACUGCUCCUUUAGGUAUAUGUCUUUGCAUUUGCCUCAGUUUUCUGUCCACUGGGCAGCUGCACAAGCAAUGCAAGCCUGACAAUGUUCUGGGCAAUGUUGUCUGGAACUCCAGAGCAAACAUCGCUUGCCAGUGUUGUUCCCUAUCGAGAUGAAAUGUCCAGGCCUUUACAUCCUCACCUCCGCUUAUAACUGGAUAUGGACUGUCCUGGGUGACAUGUGACCUUCAGGGAGGCAGCUGUCUGCCGCUGAGACAAACCACAGAAAGGUGACAGUUGGAGAUGUCUACAGACUGCGUUCCCUGAAGCCUGGCAGCGAGCACUUUCUCGAAGGGGCAUCUAGAAGGAACAUCCCCCUGACUACCACAAUGCACUCCCUUUGCCUCUCGGAUUCACUUUUUCAUAUACUUUCAGCAAUUAGCUCUCCAUGAAUUCACGACACUCUUUUUUUUGGAGAGUAAAAGUAUAACAGAUUAGUUAAGUGAACUAUAGCCCUGGUGCUGUACUUAAUUUUCAGGGACCAAGUGAUACUUAUAGACUCCUUCUUCCACUUUUCAUUUUCUUUCCCCUUUAUCCUCAGCUACUCCCUCUGCUGGCCUCACCGAUGACUUACCUCAUGAUGAGACCGAGACCAUCAUCCCUGAGGGUGUGACUUCCUGUUCAUCACAGCUUCUCUGGCCAGAUUGCCGUAUCUGUCUUUUUGCAAUUGUCACAAUUGGGUGAAGAAUUACCAAGACCUACUUAACUAGAUUAUCUGGGUGCCACGAAUAUUCACUGCUCCAUUGCAUAACACCACUUUUGCCUUUUCAUCAACAUGAAGGUCAAUUACCAUUGCCAAGAUUGUGACUCCACUUCUUGUCUGCUUGUCCUUGAAACAAAAACCUCAGAGUGCCCAGGGGACAGCUGUGCCCGGUUUCUAGCUCAGUUGGAAACUUGCUUUUUCUAACCCCUUGGGGAACCUGGAUGUCUACUCUAAAGCGUCCAGAGUCGCAGGCAUGGGAAGUACAAAGUCCCAUGGUGGGUCAUGAGAAUAAUGACCUCUGCUUCCCUUCCUUAUAUCACAAAACCAUGUACUCUUUCUUUAGGCCACAGAAUCACAUAAUGGUGUUUGAUGCAAUGUAUAUCCUACCUCCUAGAGGAUGGCAUCUAUAGUAGUCUGUUCUCACGCUGCUAAUAAAGACAUACCAGAGACUGGGUAAUUUAUAAAGAAAAAGAGGUUUAAUGGACUCACCGUUCCAUAUGGCUGGGGAGGCCUCACCAUCAGGGCAGAAGGCAAAAGGCACAUCUUACAUGGCAGCAGGCAAGAGAGAACAUGUGGAGGGGAACUCCUGUUUAUAAAAUCAUCAGAUCUCAUGAGACUUAUUCACUAUCACGAAAACAGUAUGGGAAAAACCCGCCCCCAUAAUUCAAUUACCUCCCACCAGGUGCCUCCCACCAGGUGCCUCCCAUGAUAUAUGGGGACUAUCACAAUUCAAGGUGAGAUUUGGGUGGGGACACAGACCCAAACCAUAUCAGCAUCUCAUCUCCACAGAAUAUGGCCUCUAGACUGGGGAUUCAGAAAUGUAUCCGCCAUUGCUUCAGUUCUGUAUCAGGCCAGCAGGUCCUGGGUGGUGAUCUUAUGUGAUCUGAGCAGUGGAUCUCAAGGUCAGGGCCUACUUAUAUCCUGAAAAGUGGGUCCAUUGAUCUCAGGUGAUAUUAGACAGGAUCCUGGCUAGUAAAUUAAACACCGUAAAUGGUAAAAUAGUGGUGCUUGUUGAGGCUCUUAGGGCAAGAGAAAUCGAUCUCCAGAAUGUCUUUUUAUAUUUCUGUGAGAAUAGACUGGUGGCUAUCCGUAUAUGAAAGAGCCUAAGGUGGUCACUUUCCCAGCAAGUGGCUGGAUGGUGGCCUAGAAGAAUAGUGCCGUGGUGAGGGGUCAGCCUUAGUGCUUAUUGCUAUCAGGUUGGCUGUUUGGCAAUGGAAAUAGCUAGAUUAUCCAUGAAAAGUGAGAAUCCUCUCUGUUGGGCCCAUUCAUAUUUUCCAUGUCUACUACAGUGACCACUUCUUUUGCGUGCCUAUUGUGUUAAUUCUGAAGCAGUCAACGGCAGAGGCUGAUGGAUGUCAACCUACCAGUCAUUUUGUCUAGUUGGUUAUUUAAUUCAACAACUGAGACAAAAUGUUCUUUGGUAUCUGUUAAUAUGUUAUAAAAAGAUCAUCAUAGUUUGUGCCCACUCCCAUGUGUCUAUCUUCAUGCCUCUAACCCUGAGUUCUUUGCCUCAUAUUUUCCAAUCCUUUUCUUUCUAAGCCUCUGAACAACUAGCCAGGCCUUACCCUCUGGCCGUAAGGCCAUAGACUUGCUAAUACCAUGGUCCUUUUUUGUGUGUAUAAAGUACAUGAUAAGAUGCUGCUCCUGAAACUCUGCCCACUGGGAGCAUUUUCCCCAGCUCUGUCUUUCAUGAUCACCCCAGAAAGCAGCAUACAGAAGCUGCUAUCUAUUUUUGAUUUGUAAACACAUACUGAGCCAGCUCAUCUGUAAUUUAAAUGGGCAUUUUGCUCCUUUCUUAAAGUGCUCCUACAUCCAGGCAAGAGUUGAAAGAAGAGCAUGGGGUGUUGAAAGCCACAGAUUUCUGGUGAGCUUCCCUUUUAGGAGACACAUUUAAGGUUUUUUGCUGCAUAAUGGGCAGGUAUAAUGUAAACUUUUUCUUUCUUUUCUACAAAAGCUUCAGUAAAUUUUCCAUCACUUAAGAAUGCUUUGUUCAAACAAAGUCUUCUUGGGAUUUUCAAAGAAAUGAAAAUGUUGAAGCUGACACUUUGAUUACUGACACUUUGAUUACACUUUCAGUGUAGAAAAGUAACUUGAUUUUUAAAUGACUGUUGAAGAGAUUAAUGGAAGGAAGAGAGUAAAGACAGGUUUUUGAGUGGAUAUUAGAACAAAAUGAAAAUAUUUUUGAUCAGGAAGAUUUCAGAAAGCUAAAAAUGACUUAUAAGACUGAAUAAUGGUCUCCAGAGAUGUUCAUGUCUUAAUCCCCAGAAUCUGUGACUGUUAGUUGAUAUUGCAAGAGGAACUUUGCAGUUGUGAUAAAGUUAAACGAGGAGAUUAACCAAGAUUACCCAGGUGGGCCCCUCUGAAGUCAGAAGACAAUGUAAUUACAGAAGCAAAGGGGUAAGUCAGAAGACAAUGUAAUUACAGAAGCAAAGGGGUAGAGAAUGAGACUUGAAGAUGUUGCGCUUCUAGCUUUGAAGACGUCUAGAAAGGCAGUCUCUGGAAACCGGGAAGGGCAGGGAAGCAAAGUCUCCCUGGAUCCUGCAGAGGACAGAGCCCUGGUGAUGCAUUUCAGACUUCUACCCUCCAGAAGGAUCAAAUUCUACAAAUAUGUGUCCUUUCAAGCCCCUAAACUAGUGGGCAUUUGUUAUAGCAGCAGUAAAAAAUGAAUACCAUGUGCUAUUUUGAAAUCUGACUUUUGUGAGAAGCCAGUUAAGUAUUUAUUUUGUUAACAAUUGGCUUUUGUGCUCACUGGAGGUUAAAAAUAUUUUUGUCAUUAAUACACUUUGAAUACUCAGUCCUAAGUAAUAUAAGUAGCGUGACCUUUUUUGCCCUUUCCCUCUCCAGGCACAACAUGAAGAAUAACUCAAUGAUUUGCCGAAAAGAAGAGAAAUAUAUUAUCCCUUCAGUUCCUAAACUUACUUGUUUUCUCAUCUUCAAGAACGAAAGUAAUUCAGCAUACACAUAUAGCAUAUUAAUAUUCUUUAUAAAUUAUAUUCAUGUACAACUAUAUAAUGUAUAAUCAUAUUCAUGUACUACCUGUACAAACAAAUUUACACAUUUAAAAUAUAAAAAAUAAGAUGAAAAUGGAAUCAAUGUAUCACAAGUGAUUGAAAUAUCUAAUACUUUCUUUCAGCAAAUCACUGGAUCAUACUGCAGAUUCCUUGAAUUUCUGCUCCUCUCAUUACAAACUGUUGUAUUAGAUGACCAAUAUAUAUCUUUUCCUACCAUUUAAUGAUUCUCUCCUUUUUCUACUGUGAGCUUGUUUUGUUGUUAAUGACAAAUACAGUACAGAUUUAGUUAGCUGCUGUGGAGUAUGAGGCAGAAUAAGCAAUGUGACUAAUCCUUAUUGUGCAUUCUCAAGCUGACUCCCAGUACUCUCUUUUCAUGCCUCCUGAGCACUAUACUUAUUAACAUUGUCUACUUCUGCAGUAUUUUAGUGAAAGGUAUUAGGAUGCAAUAUAUUUUCUUUUUAACAUGCAAAGGUGAUGAAUGAAAAUUAUAUGAUCAUUUGGUUAAUGAUAUUAAUUUAUCAGUGUGAAUAUGUAUUUUAAAAAAUCACAUACUGUUACUGCAGGAAAUAAAUUGAAGUUUCUUAUAUUUUGAAAAAAAAUCAGAUAAUAUACAUGCCAUAACUAAAAUGAUACUUUGUUGAAAGAAUCUAUUUUAAUCAGAGUAUGAGGAU